GACGAACGCUGGCGGCGUGCCUAAUACAUGCAAGUCGAGCGAAGUUUUUCUGGUGCUUGCACUAGAAAAACUUAGCGGCGCACGGGUGAGUAACACGUAAAGAACCUGCCUCAUAGACUGGGACAACUAUUGGAAACGAUAGCUAAUACCGGAUAACAGUAUUUCUCGCAUGAGAGAUAUUUAAAAGUUGGUUAUGCUAACACUAUGAGAUGGCUUUGCGGUGCAUUAGCUAGUUGGUGGGGUAAAGGCCCACCAAGGCGACGAUGCAUAGCCGACCUGAGAGGGUGAUCGGCCACACUGGGACUGAGACACGGCCCAGACUCCUACGGGAGGCAGCAGUAGGGAAUCUUCCGCAAUGGGCGAAAGCCUGACGGAGCAACGCCGCGUGAGUGAAGAAGGAUUUCGGUUCGUAAAGCUCUGUUGUUAGGGAAGAAUGGAAAUGUAGUAACUAUACAUGUAAGAGACGGUACCUAACCAGAAAGCCACGGCUAACUACGUG
RNAcentral lists this ribosomal RNA (499 nucleotides) under uncultured bacterium. Its description in RNAcentral is "partial 16S ribosomal RNA". It matches the Rfam family "Bacterial small subunit ribosomal RNA", at positions 28 to 507 of the family's 1533-position model. The record is from RNAcentral.